Molecule: non-coding RNA, 884 nt
Organism: Paramisgurnus dabryanus
Lineage: Eukaryota; Metazoa; Chordata; Actinopteri; Cypriniformes; Cobitidae
Source: RefSeq, a predicted model, not a curated record
UAUGUUAUGAUAGAGUAACCAUGGUAACGAAGACUAGGGUUGUGGAAGAACCGCGUGGGAACAACACAGAAGCUGAAUACUUUAAUUCGGAGGCUCGGAAAAUAACAUUAGGAAUGUGUGAAAAAAGGUUGUUUUUGAAGAGUUCCAGCUCGCGUGGGGAGUGUUUGAUUACCUUGUGUACUGUGCAGAUUCACUUGUAAAGAAGCAAGUCGAUGCUGGAUUUGCAGAGAGACUGUGAUUAAAAGCCCCACUAAUUUUGGAUCUGACGAAAAUGACACAGCAAGUGUCACUGUGGCCUCAAAGCUUCAGCACUGGCACUCAGAGAUCGAUUGCUAAGUCUCAGAAUUGGCUCCCCAUAACAUUAGCCUGUUAUGAUAGUCAAGAGGAGACAGGAGAUGAUGGACAGUGUAAUGGAUGGACAUCUUUUGUAAGGCUAAAACAAAUAGACAACACAAUAUGAGUUUCUUACUUCCACUGAUGACGGGCAGUCAGCUCCUGUGGCCUAUUGGGAUAUUACAGACAGAAACUACAUCCUGCAACUGCACCUUGGCAACUGUCUCCAGUGGAAACAAUUCCCCAAUGACAAAUACCAUUGUAUUGAAAUUGUACUAUGAUCAGAUGUAUACCAGGGGGUAUACACAAUCGGAGGGUAAUCACAAUUGGAUGUCUGUGAUUAUUGAAGUAAAUCAGCAUUCAGCAACUUCUUUAAACAGUUUUAAGUAGAGUUUUCUUUUAGACACACUGUUCUUAUAAUAGAUAGGCUUGUUCUUUAUUUAACACGUCUUUAUGCAUAUAGGGUUACUGCAUUAAUACAGUUAGGAACCGUUACAAGAAUUAUUGUAUGCUUGCUGUUUAUCUCAGUUCAGCUUCCUCAAUAAAUUUAG